CCCUUAGAUGUUCUGGGCCGCACGCGCGCUACACUGAAGGGAUCAGCGUGUUUUCCCUUCCCGAGAGGGACGGGUAACCCGCUGAACCCCCUUCGUGGUAGGGAUCGGAGCUUGCAAUUGUUCUCCGUGAACCAGGAAUUCCCAGUAAGCGCAAGUCAUAAGCUUGCGUUGAUUACGUCCCUGCCCUUUGUGCACACCGCCCGUCGCUACUACCGAUUGAACGUUUUAGUGAGGUAUUUGGACUGGGCCUUGGGAGGUUUCGGCCUCCCUUGUUGCUCGGAAAGACUCCCAAACUUGAGCGUUUAGAGGAAGUAAAAGUCGUAACA
RNAcentral lists this ribosomal RNA (326 nucleotides) under uncultured eukaryote. RNAcentral's name for it is "partial 18S ribosomal RNA". It matches the Rfam family "Eukaryotic small subunit ribosomal RNA", at positions 1470 to 1796 of the family's 1831-position model. The record is from RNAcentral.